AUACUUACCUGGCGCAGAGGCUAACCGUGAUCAAAAAGGCGGUUCCUCCAGGGCGAGGCUCUUCCAUUGCACUAUUCGGUCGAGCUGACCCUUGCGAAUAUCCCUAAUGUGGAUAUAUCGAGCGUAUAAUUUUUGGUAGUAGGGACUGCGUUCGCGCUGUCCCUAA
Non-coding RNA from Nasonia vitripennis (jewel wasp), 166 nucleotides. Lineage: Eukaryota; Metazoa; Arthropoda; Insecta; Hymenoptera; Pteromalidae. The record is from Rfam.